Molecule: ribosomal RNA, 1254 nt
Filed under: metagenome
Description: bacterial SSU rRNA
Rfam family: Bacterial small subunit ribosomal RNA
Source: RNAcentral
AGAGUUUGAUUCUGGUUUAGAUUGAACGCUGGCGGCAUGCCUAACACAUGCAAGUCGAACGGUAACGCGGAGAGCUUGCUCUCUGGCGACGAGUGGCGGACGGGUGAGUAAUGCAUAGGAAUCUGCCUUUUAGUGGGGGACAACAUGUGGAAACGCAUGUUAAUACUGCAUACGCCCUACGGGGGAAAGCGGGGGUCUUCGGACCUCGUGCUAAGAGAUGAGCCUAUGUCAGAUUAGCUAGUUGGUAGGGUAAAGGUUUACCAAGGUGAUGAUCUGUAGCUGGUUUGAGAGAAUGAUCAGCCACACUGGGACUGAGAUAUGGCCCAGACUCCUACGGGAGGCAGCAGUGGGGAAUAUUGCAUAAUGGGCGUAAGCCUGAUGCAGCAAUGCCGCGUGUGUGAAGAAGGCCUGCGGGUUGUAAAGCACUUUCAGUGGGGAGGAAGGCCUGACGGUUAAUAUUUGUCAGGAUUGACGUUACCCACAGAAGAAGCACCGGUUAACUCCGUGUUAGCAGCCGCGGUAAUACGGAGGGUGCAAGCGUUAAUCGGAAUUAUUGGGCGUAAAGCGCGCGUAGGCGGCAAAGUCAGUCGGAUGUGAAAGUCCCGGGUUUAAUUUGGGAAUUGCAUUCGAUACUGCUUAGCUAGAGUCUGAUAGAGGGGAGUGGAAUUUUGGGUGUAGUGGUGAAAUGUGUAGAUAUUUGGAGGAAUAUUAGUGGUGAAGGUGACUCCCUGGAUCAAGACUGACGCUGAGGUGCGAAAGUGUGGGUAGUAAAUAGGAUUAGAUAUUUUGGUAGUUUAUGUUGUAAACGAUGUCAACUAGACGUUGGGAGAUUUGAUCUCUUAGUGUCGGAGCUAAUGCGAUAAGUUGACCGCCUGGGGAGUACGGUUGUAAGAUUAAAACUCAAAGGAAUUGACGGGGGCCUGUAUAAGCGGUGGAGCAUGUGGUUUAAUUCGAUGCAAUGUGAAGAAUUUUACCUACCCUUGACAUUGAUAGAAUUUAGUAGAGAUGUAGGAGUGUUUUUGGGUUUGGAAAAUAGGUGUUGUAUGGCUGCCGUCAGCUCGUGUUGUGAGAUGUUGGGUUAAGUUUUGUAACGAGCGCAACCCUUGUCCCUAGUUGUUAGCACAUAAUGGUGGGAACUCUAGGGAGACUGCCGGUGAUAAACCGGAGGAAGGUGGGGAUGACGUCAAGUCAUCAUGGCUCUUAUGGGUAGGGCUACACACGUGCUACAAUGGCCGGUACAGAGGGUCGCGACCC